UAUCAGGUGACUGAAAGUAAGUAUUGGUCUUUUAAACCUUUUAUAGUAGAAACGCCUACUUCUGAUAA
Molecule: transfer RNA, 68 nt
Filed under: Crangon hakodatei
Lineage: Eukaryota; Metazoa; Arthropoda; Malacostraca; Decapoda; Crangonidae
Description: tRNA-Lys
Source: RNAcentral